Molecule: ribosomal RNA, 464 nt
Filed under: uncultured bacterium
Lineage: Bacteria
Description: bacterial SSU rRNA
Rfam family: Bacterial small subunit ribosomal RNA
Source: RNAcentral
GGAGGAAGCAGGGGAUCGCAAGACCUUGCGCUUUUGGAGCGGCCGAUGCCUGAUUAGCUAGUUGGUGAGGUAAAAGCUCACCAAGGCUCCGAUCAGUAGCUGGUCUGAGAGGACGACCAGCCACACUGGGACUGAGACACGGCCCAGACUCCUACGGGAGGCAGCAGUGGGGAAUUUUGGACAAUGGGGGCAACCCUGAUCCAGCCAUGCCGCGUGAGUGAAGAAGGCCUUCGGGUUGUAAAGCUCUUUCAGCCGGAACGAAACGGUCACGGUUAAUACCCGUGACUACUGACGGUACCGGAAGAAGAAGCACCGGCUAACUACGUGCCAGCAGCCGCGGUAAUACGUAGGGUGCGAGCGUUAAUCGGAAUUACUGGGCGUAAAGCGUGCGCAGGCGGUUUUGUAAGUCAGAUGUGAAAUCCCCGGGCUUAACCUGGGAACUGCGUUUGAAACUACAAAGCUAG